This 447-nucleotide ribosomal RNA is filed under the name uncultured bacterium. Its description in RNAcentral is "bacterial SSU rRNA". It matches the Rfam family "Bacterial small subunit ribosomal RNA", at positions 329 to 793 of the family's 1533-position model. The record is from RNAcentral.
CGCCAGACUCCUACGGGAGGCAGCAGUGGGGAAUAUUGCACAAUGGGGGAAACCCUGAUGCAGCGACGCCGCGUGAGUGAAGAAGUAUUUCGGUAUGUAGAGCUCUAUCAGCAGGGAAGAAAAUGACGGUACCUGACUAAGAAGCCCCGGCUAACUACGUGCCAGCAGCCGCGGUAAUACGUAGGGGGCAAGCGUUAUCCGGAUUUACUGGGUGUAAAGGGAGCGUAGACGGCAUGGCAAGUCAGAUGUGAAAGCCCGGGGCUCAACCCCGGGACUGCAUUUGAAACUGUCAGGCUGGAGUGCAGGAGAGGUAAGUGGAAUUCCUAGUGUAGCGGUGAAAUGCGUAGAUAUUAGGAGGAACACCAGUGGCGAAGGCGGCUUACUGGACUGUAACUGACGUUGAGGCUCGAAAGCGUGGGGAGCAAACAGGAUUAGAUACCCGCGUAC